GUGAGCAAUACACUGUAAAAUUUUUCCAGGAUUUCACAAGAUAUAACUGUAAUAUUUCACAGUUAAUUACAUUAUUACCACUUCACAGGCUUUAACUGUGAUAAUUCACAAUAUAAUACCGUAUUUAGACUUUUACUGUGAAAAUAAUGCAGGCGCGGGGCUUUUACAAGAAACUACUGUGAAUGCCGUCUUUUUUGAGUGGCAACUGCGGCAGCGUCAUCAGAGCUCUCUGAUCUACGUGGUCUCAUUCGGUGGAUUCAGACAGCGCAUUUUCUACAUUGACCGACGAUAAAUAAAGUUAUAAGGUGCUUCUUGGGCAUCAACCCAGAGACAGGCACAAAAUCUAAGAGGCAGAGAGGUCACAUGAACCAGCAAGUCUGCACUCUUAUCAGGAAGCUCAUUGACUUCGAAUGGAUGUCAAUCUAAUUGGAUAGAACCCACACUAUGCAGGUGCCAGCUGCGAGGGAAGGAGAGAGACACCUGCGACCCUCUCUAUUCCCACCUUUUUGUCUUUUCUUACAUCUCUCUCCCUCACUCUCUCUUCUCUGUCUCCUUCUUUCUCUUUUGACAAACAUUCCUGUUACCCAGUGUCAAUCCCUGUUGCCCAGUGUUUUAUUC
This is a long non-coding RNA of Carassius gibelio (silver crucian carp), 618 nucleotides long. RefSeq lists it as uncharacterized. The record is from RefSeq and is a predicted model, not a curated record. The transcript has 4 exons. Lineage: Eukaryota; Metazoa; Chordata; Actinopteri; Cypriniformes; Cyprinidae.